AAUAUUGGACAAUGGGUGAAAGCCUGAUCCAGCCAUGCCGCGUGUGUGAAGAAGGUCUUCGGUUUGUAAAUCACUUUAAGUUGGGAGGAAGGUGUUGAAGCUAAUACCUUCAAUCUUUGACGUUACCAACUGAAUUAGCACCGGCUAACUCUGUGCUAGCAGCCGCGGUAAUAAAGAUGUUGCAAGCGUUAAUCGGAAUUACUGGGCGUAAAGCGCGCGUAGGUGGUUCAGUAAAAUGGAAGUGAAAUCCCCGGGCUUAACCUGGGAACUGCUUUCAUAACUGCUGAGCUAGAGUACGGUAGAGGGUAGUGGAAUUUCCUGUGUAGCGGUGAAAUGCGUAGAUAUAGGAAGGAACACCAGUGGCGAAGGCGACUACCUGGACUGAUACUGACACUGAGGUGCGAAAGCGUGGGGAGCAAACA
RNAcentral lists this ribosomal RNA (422 nucleotides) under uncultured bacterium. Its description in RNAcentral is "partial 16S ribosomal RNA". It matches the Rfam family "Bacterial small subunit ribosomal RNA", at positions 360 to 774 of the family's 1533-position model. The record is from RNAcentral.